Molecule: transfer RNA, 73 nt
Filed under: Gemmatimonadota bacterium
Lineage: Bacteria; Pseudomonadati; Gemmatimonadota
Also listed under: 4 other names
Description: tRNA-Ala
Rfam family: tRNA
About the family: Transfer RNA (tRNA) molecules are approximately 80 nucleotides in length.
Source: RNAcentral
GGGGCCGUAGCUCAGUUGGGAGAGCGCCUGCUUUGCAAGCAGGAGGUCGUCGGUUCGAUCCCGAUCGGCUCCA